UACGAAGGGGGCUAGCGUUGUUCGGAAUCACUGGGCGUAAAGCGCACGUAGGCGGUUCUUUAAGUCAGGGGUGAAAUCCUGGAGCUCAACUCCAGAACUGCCUUUGAUACUGGGGAUCUCGAGUCCGGAAGAGGUGAGUGGAACUCCGAGUGUAGAGGUGAAAUUCGUAGAUAUUCGGAAGAACACCAGUGGCGAAGGCGGCUCACUGGUCCGGUACUGACGCUGAGGCGCGAAAGCGUGGGGAGCAAACAGG
RNAcentral lists this ribosomal RNA (253 nucleotides) under uncultured bacterium. RNAcentral describes it as "partial 16S ribosomal RNA". It matches the Rfam family "Bacterial small subunit ribosomal RNA", at positions 524 to 776 of the family's 1533-position model. The record is from RNAcentral.